GAGGAUCCCUACUCCUCCCGGGCCGCUAGGCUCUCAGUUCUGCUGAGGAAGCACUGUGCUCCCACUGAAGUGACCUGUGAACACCACUCUGCUCUGCAGGCAUGUGGCCAGAGGCUGGAGGAUGGAGGGAUCUCAUUACAGGCAUCUGUGGGCUGGGAGGUUCAAGAAGCAUGGUGCUGGCAUCUGCUUGGCUUCUGUGUGGGCUUUCUUGCUGCAUUAAGACAUGGUGGAAGAUCAAAGGGGAAGUGGAC
RNAcentral lists this small RNA (251 nucleotides) under Pan troglodytes (chimpanzee). Its description in RNAcentral is "processed transcript". Lineage: Eukaryota; Metazoa; Chordata; Mammalia; Primates; Hominidae. The record is from RNAcentral.